This 72-nucleotide transfer RNA is filed under the name Lobosphaera incisa. RNAcentral's name for it is "tRNA-Asn". It matches the Rfam family "tRNA". From Rfam's summary of the family: Transfer RNA (tRNA) molecules are approximately 80 nucleotides in length. Their secondary structure includes four short double-helical elements and three loops (D, anti-codon, and T loops). The record is from RNAcentral. Lineage: Eukaryota; Viridiplantae; Chlorophyta; Trebouxiophyceae; Trebouxiales; Trebouxiaceae.
UCCUCAAUAGCUCAGUGGUAGAGCGGAUGGCUGUUAACCAUUAAGUCGUUGGUUCAAUCCCAACUUGGGGAG